RNAcentral lists this transfer RNA (69 nucleotides) under Mogera robusta (large mole). RNAcentral describes it as "tRNA-His". It matches the Rfam family "tRNA". Rfam says of the family: Transfer RNA (tRNA) molecules are approximately 80 nucleotides in length. Lineage: Eukaryota; Metazoa; Chordata; Mammalia; Eulipotyphla; Talpidae. The record is from RNAcentral.
GUAAAUAUAGUUUAAUCAAAACAUUAGAUUGUGAGUCUAAAAACAGGAAAUUAUAACUCCUUAUUUACC